This 417-nucleotide ribosomal RNA is filed under the name uncultured bacterium. RNAcentral describes it as "bacterial SSU rRNA". It matches the Rfam family "Bacterial small subunit ribosomal RNA", at positions 28 to 447 of the family's 1533-position model. The record is from RNAcentral.
GACGAACGCUGGCGGCGUGCCUAACACAUGCAAGUCGAACGGGGUAGCCCUUCGGGGUUACUUAGUGGCGAACGGGUGAGUAACGCGUGAGAAACCUGCCUUUCAGUGGGGGACAACAGUUGGAAACGACUGCUAAUACCGCAUAACGUAUUUUAGGGGCAUCCCUUUGAUACCAAAGCUUUAUGUGCUGAAAGAUGGUCUCGCGUCUGAUUAGCUAGAUGGCGGGGUAACGGCCCACCAUGGCGACGAUCAGUAGCCGGUCUGAGAGGAUGAACGGCCACAUUGGGACUGAGAUACGGCCCAGACUCCUACGGGAGGCAGCAGUGGGGAAUAUUGGGCAAUGGGCGAAAGCCUGACCCAGCGACGCCGCGUGAGGGAAGACGGUCUUCGGAUUGUAAACCUCUUUCAGCAGGAGAC